Long non-coding RNA from Nothoprocta perdicaria, 203 nucleotides. RefSeq lists it as uncharacterized. The record is from RefSeq and is a predicted model, not a curated record. NCBI's taxonomy places the organism in Eukaryota, Metazoa, Chordata, Aves, Tinamiformes, Tinamidae. The transcript is spliced from 3 exons.
UUUUUGUAUUUUUUUGUAAGUCUUUCAGUAAGAGAGAGCCACGACAAAGAAAAGCUGUAGGCUUUGGGGUUCUGGAUCAUUUUGCAUCCCAUAAGGGAAGGUUCACCGAGAUGCCAAGCUAUGGCUGGCUACAACUUCAGUACAUCUUGUAACAAUGCAGGCCAUGACAUGCCAGAGUGAUGGAGCAUGGUAGUUUAACUCCU